GGUCAAGCUACAAAGGGCGCAUGGUGAAUGCCUUGGCAUCAGGAGCCGAUGAAGGACGCGAUAAGCUGCGAUAAGCUUCGGGUAGACGCACAUAGUCAGAGAUCCGAAGAUUUCCGAAUGAGGAAACUCACAUGGGAAACCCCAUGUAUCAUAAAGUGAAUACAUAGCUUUAUGAAGGUAUACCCAGGGAACUGAAACAUCUAAGUACCUGGAGGAAGAGAAAGAAAAAUCGAUUUUCUUAGUAGCGGCGAGCGAAAAGGAAAGAGCCCAAACCAGAGAUUUAUCUCUGGGGUUGCGGACAGAACAUAACGAGAAAUCAUAGUUAAUUGAACACAACUGGAAAGUUGGACCACAGUGGGUAAUAGUCCCGUAAGUGAAAACUAUGAUAAUCAGUUCUGCACCAGAGUACCACGAGACACGUGAAACCUUGUGGGAAGCAGGGAGGACCACCUCCCAAGGCUAAAUACUACCUGAUGACCGAUAGUGAAGCAGUACCGUGAGGGAAAGGUGAAAAGAACCCCGGGAGGGGAGUGAAAUAGAACCUGAAACCAUGUGCCUACAACCGAUCAGAGCACCUUAUGUGUGUGAUGAUGUGCUUUUUGUAGAACGAGCCAACGAGUUACGGUAUGUAGCGAGGUUAAGUACUUAAGGUACGGAGCCGAAGGGAAACCGAGUCUUAAUAGGGCGACUAGUUGCAUGCUGUAGACCCGAAACCGGGUGACCUAUCCAUGGCCAGGUUGAAGCGAGGGUAAAACCUCGUGGAGGACCGAACCACGUUGCUGUUGAAAAAGCAUGGGAUGAGCUGUGGAUAGCGGAGAAAUUCCAAUCGAACUCGGAUAUAGCUGGUUCUCCUCGAAAUAGCUUUAGGGCUAGCGUCGGAAAAUGUGAGUAGUGGAGGUAGAGCACUGAAUAGGCUAGGGGGCAUAGCGCUUACCGAACCUUAUCAAACUCCGAAUGCCACAUACUAUCAGUCCGGCAGUCAGACUAUGAAAGAUAAGUUCCAUGGUCAAAAGGGAAACAGCCCAGAUCGUCAGCUAAGGUCCCAAAGUGUAAGUUAAGUGGAAAAGGAUGUGGGAUUUCUAAGACAACUAGGAUGUUGGCUUAGAAGCAGCCACUCAUUAAAAGAGUGCGUAAUAGCUCACUAGUCAAGAGAUCCUGCGCCGAAAAUGUCCGGGGCUCAAACUUACCACCGAAGCUACGGGCUCGCGCAUUUGCGUGAGCGGUAGAGGAGCGUCGUAAUCGGGCUGAAGUCGUACCGUAAGGAGCGGUGGACUGAUUACGAGUGAGAAUGUUGGCAUUAGUAGCGAGAUGUAGGCGAGAAUCCUACAGGCCGAAUAUCUAAGGUUUCCUGAGUAAAGUUUGUCUUCUCAGGGUUAGUCGGGACCUAAGGCGAGGCCGAAAGGCGUAGUCGAUGGACAAUUGGUUGAUAUUCCAAUACCACUACAAUCGUUAUUAUCGAUGGUGUGACGGAGAAGGAUAGGAUGUGCUAGCUAUUGGAUGCUAGUCUAAGCGUUUAGGGAGUUGGGAUUGGCAAAUCCGUUCCAACAAUUCUGAGGCGUGAUGGGGAAGGUUCUACGGAACCGAAGUAUCUGAUUCCAUGCUUCCAAGAAAAGCAUCUAGAAAGAGAAGUAGUGCCCGUACCGCAAACCGACACAGGUAGAUGAGGAGAGAAUCCUAAGGCCGACGGAAGAAUUGCAGUUAAGGAACUAGGCAAAUUGACCCCGUAACUUCGGGAGAAGGGGUGCCUGAGAAAUCAGGCCGCAGAGAAUAGGCACAAGCAACUGUUUAACAAAAACACAGGUCUCUGCUAAAGCGAAAGCUGAUGUAUAGGGCUGACGCCUGCCCGGUGCUGGAAGGUUAAGG
RNAcentral lists this ribosomal RNA (1863 nucleotides) under Clostridium beijerinckii. Its description in RNAcentral is "partial 23S ribosomal RNA". It matches the Rfam family "Bacterial large subunit ribosomal RNA", at positions 1 to 1882 of the family's 2925-position model. Lineage: Bacteria; Bacillati; Bacillota; Clostridia; Eubacteriales; Clostridiaceae. The record is from RNAcentral.